Molecule: ribosomal RNA, 1449 nt
Filed under: uncultured bacterium
Lineage: Bacteria
Description: bacterial SSU rRNA
Rfam family: Bacterial small subunit ribosomal RNA
Source: RNAcentral
GAUGAACGCUAGCGGGAGGCUUAACACAUGCAAGUCGAGGGGCAUCAUAGGGUAGCAAUACUCUGAUGGCGACCGGCGCACGGGUGAGUAACGCGUAUGUAACCUACCCUUUACAGGGAGAUAACCCGGAGAAAUUCGGACUAAUAUUCCAUAGUAUUAUAUUUAGGCAUCUAUAUAUAAUUAAAGCUACGGUGGUAAAGGAUGGGCAUGCGUAACAUUAGCUAGUUGGUAUGGUAACGGCUUACCAAGGCAAUGAUGUUUAGGGGGCCUGAGAGGGUGAUCCCCCACACUGGUACUGAGACACGGACCAGACUCCUACGGGAGGCAGCAGUGAGGAAUAUUGGUCAAUGGGCGCAAGCCUGAACCAGCCAUCCCGCGUGAAGGAAGAAUGCGCUAUGCGUUGUAAACUUCUUUUCCAGUGGAAUAAUUUGCCAUACGUGUAUGGUAUUGAAUGUACGUUGGGAAUAAGCAUCGGCUAACUCCGUGCCAGCAGCCGCGGUAAUACGGAGGAUGCGAGCGUUAUCCGGAUUUAUUGGGUUUAAAGGGUGCGUAGGCGGGAUGAUAAGUCAGUGGUGAAACCCUGCAGCUUAACUGUAGGCUUGCCGUUGAUACUGUUGUUCUUGAGUAUGGUCAAGGCAGGCGGAAUGUGUAAUGUAGCGGUGAAAUGCUUAGAUAUUACACAGAACACCGAUAGCGAAGGCAGCUUGCUGGGCCUGUACUGACGCUGAUGCACGAAAGCGUGGGGAUCAAACAGGAUUAGACACCCUGGUAGUCCACGCCGUAAACGAUGAUCACUAGCUGUUGGCGAUAUACCGAUCAGUGGCAAAGCAAAAGCAUUAAGUGAUCCACCUGGGGAGUACGGCCGCAAGGCUGAAACUCAAAGGAAUUGACGGGGGCCCGCACAAGCGGAGGAACAUGUGGUUUAAUUCGAUGAUACGCGAGGAACCUUACCUGGGCUUAAAUGUAGAGUGCAUUGGAGGGAAACUUUCAUUUUCUUCGGAACUUUUUACAAGGUGCUGCAUGGUUGUCGUCAGCUCGUGCCGUGAGGUGUCGGGUUAAGUCCCAUAACGAGCGCAACCCUUAUCGUUAGUUGCCAGCGGGUGAAGCCGGGAACUCUAACGAAACUGCCGGUGUAAACCGUGAGGAAGGUGGGGAUGACGUCAAAUCAGCACGGCCCUUAUGUCCAGGGCUACACACGUGUUACAAUGGCCGGUACAGAGGGCAGCUACCUGGAGACAGGAUGCGAAUCUCGAAAGCCGGUCUCAGUUCGGAUCGGAGUCUGCAACCCGACUCCGUGAAGCUGGAUUCGCUAGUAAUCGCGCAUCAGCUACGGCGCGGUGAAUACGUUCCCGGGCCUUGUACACACCGCCCGUCAAGCCAUGGAAGUUGGGGGUACCUGAAGUCCGUAACCGCAAGGAGCGGCCUAGGGUAAAACCAGUGACUGGGGCU